Rhineura floridana is the source of this 106-nucleotide small nuclear RNA. The record is from RefSeq and is a predicted model, not a curated record. NCBI's taxonomy places the organism in Eukaryota, Metazoa, Chordata, Lepidosauria, Squamata, Rhineuridae.
GUGCUCACUUCAGCAGCACAUAUACUAAAAUCGGAAUGAUACAGAGAAGAUUAGCACGGCCCCUGCACAAGGAUAACUGCAAAUUUGUGAAGUGUUCCAACUUUUU